This 541-nucleotide long non-coding RNA is filed under the name Nicotiana benthamiana. RNAcentral's name for it is "long non-coding RNA (NBEN_LNC039099)". The record is from RNAcentral. Lineage: Eukaryota; Viridiplantae; Streptophyta; Magnoliopsida; Solanales; Solanaceae.
GUCUCACCUCUCUCAUAGACAACCCUAUAGCCUCCUCUGAGCGAAUCCUCCAUUAUCACCGGCGAGAUAGCUCCAAUCACAACCAAAAUCUGGCCAUGCAGCCAUCACCCCUCCUUGCAUCCUAAUCCACCACCAUUUUCCCAAAAUCCUCGGCAUAUCUCAGCUGUUUCAAAUCUGGAAUCGAAGAAGAUCAAAAUCUCUCAAGUCCUCGAGUUCUUGUGAAUGAUUGGGAUUGAAACGAGUAUUGCCCGUUUGUUCUCAAAGAGAAAAUAUGGCUAAUACCAGUUUUGAGUCUAGUCAGAGUCGUUUGAGAUUUAUUAAGCAUUUUCGCCAUGGCCUUCAAGUUAUUUUCUUUGUUAUUUCCCCUUCAUCUUCAUCUUCUCUUUGCCCGUACCCUUUUUUUUUUCUCUUUUUUGUCCGUUUUUACUUGUCCCUCUCCCUUUCUUCUUAUUCUUUAGUUUGAUUUCUUGGUUUGAAUUUGGUGAAAUAUUAAAAUAUUGAAUAUAUGUUUCUUUGUUUAUAUGGUAGUCGUACUCAUUCU